CCUACGGGUGGCUGCAGUCGAGAAUAUUCCGCAAUGGGCGAAAGCCUGACGGAGCGACGCCGCGUGAUUGAUGACGUACUUCGGUAUGUAAAAAUCUUUUAUAGGGGAGGAAGUUUAUUGACGUUACCCUAUGAAUAAGAGGUUGCUAAACUCGUGCCAGCAGCAGCGGUAAUACGAGUGCCUCGAGCGUUAUCCGGAAUUAUUGGGCGUAAAGGGUGUGUAGGUGGUCUAGUUAGUCGAAUGUUAAACCUCUCAGCUUAACUGAGAACAUGCAAUCGAAACGGCUAGACUUGAGGAUGCGAGAGGUUUGUGGAACUCUAAGUGUAGCGGUGAAAUGCGUUGAUAUUUAGGGGAACACCAAAAGCGAAGGCAGCAAACUGGAGCACUCCUGACACUGAAACACGAAAGCGUGGGUAGCGAAUGGGAUUAGAUACCCUGGUAGUCC
Molecule: ribosomal RNA, 445 nt
Filed under: uncultured bacterium
Lineage: Bacteria
Description: bacterial SSU rRNA
Rfam family: Bacterial small subunit ribosomal RNA
Source: RNAcentral